Molecule: ribosomal RNA, 192 nt
Filed under: uncultured Enterobacterales bacterium
Lineage: Bacteria; Pseudomonadati; Pseudomonadota; Gammaproteobacteria; Enterobacterales
Description: partial 16S ribosomal RNA
Rfam family: Bacterial small subunit ribosomal RNA
Source: RNAcentral
GGGAUAACUACUGGAAACGGUAGCUAAUACCGCAUAACGUCGCAAGACCAAAGAGGGGGACCUUCGGGCCUCUUGCCAUCGGAUGUGCCCAGAUGGGAUUAGCUAGUAGGUGGGGUAACGGCUCACCUAGGCGACGAUCCCUAGCUGGUCUGAGAGGAUGACCAGCCACACUGGAACUGAGACACGGUCCAG